This 440-nucleotide ribosomal RNA is filed under the name uncultured bacterium. RNAcentral's name for it is "partial 16S ribosomal RNA". It matches the Rfam family "Bacterial small subunit ribosomal RNA", at positions 339 to 795 of the family's 1533-position model. The record is from RNAcentral.
CUACGGGAGGCACCAGUAGGGAAUAUUGGACAAUGGGCGAAAGCCUGAUCCAGCAACACCGCGUGCACGAUGACGGCCUUCGGGUUGUAAAGUGCUUUUAGAGGAGAUGAGAAAGGACAGUAUCCUCUGAAUAAGCCUCGGCGAACUACGUGCCAGCAGCCGCGGUAAAACGUAGGAGGUAAGCGUUAUCCGGAUUUAUUGGGCGUAAUGCGCGUGCAGGCGGUCUAGCAAGUUGGAUGUGAAAGCUCCCGGCUCAACUGGGAGAGGUCGUUCAAUACUGUUAGACUAGAGAAUAGGAGAGGGAGGUGGAAUUCCGGGUGUAGUGGUGAAAUGCGUAGAUAUCCGGAGGAACACCAGUGGCGAAAGCGGCCUCCUGGACUAUUUCUGACGCUAAGACGCGAAAGCUAGGGUAGCAAACGGGAUUAGAUACCCCCGUAGUC